RNAcentral lists this ribosomal RNA (466 nucleotides) under uncultured Myxococcales bacterium. RNAcentral's name for it is "partial 16S ribosomal RNA". Lineage: Bacteria; Pseudomonadati; Myxococcota; Myxococcia; Myxococcales. The record is from RNAcentral.
GACUACUGGGGUAUCUAAUCCUGUUUGCUCCCCACGCUUUCGCGUCUCAGCGUCAGUAAGUGUCCAGAAAGCCGCCUUCGCCACUGGUAUUCCUCCCGAUAUCUACGAAUUUCACCUCUACACCGGGAAUUCUACUUUCCUCUCCACUACUCUAGAUUCGCAGUUUCGAACGCAGUUCCUGGGUUGAGCCCAGGGAUUUCACGUCCGACUUGCGAACCCGCCUACACGCGCUUUACGCCCAGUAAAUCCGAGCAACGUUUGCACCCUCUGUAUUACCGCGGCUGCUGGCACAGAGUUAGCCGGUGCUUGCUAAAGAGGUACCGUCAAGCCUGGAGCCUAUUUGAAACCAGGGUUUUCGUCCCUCUCCACAGAGCUUUACGACCCGAAGGCCUUCAUCACUCACGCGGCGUGGCUGGGUCAGGCUUUCGCCCAUUGCCCAAUAUUCCUCACUGCAGCCGCCCGUAGG